RNAcentral lists this ribosomal RNA (201 nucleotides) under Clostridioides difficile. Its description in RNAcentral is "partial 16S ribosomal RNA". It matches the Rfam family "Bacterial small subunit ribosomal RNA", at positions 1342 to 1533 of the family's 1533-position model. Lineage: Bacteria; Bacillati; Bacillota; Clostridia; Peptostreptococcales; Peptostreptococcaceae. The record is from RNAcentral.
UCGCAGAUCAGAAUGCUGCGGUGAAUGCGUUCCCGGGUCUUGUACACACCGCCCGUCACACCACGGGAGUUGGAGACGCCCGAAGCCGAUUAUCUAACCUUUUGGAAGAAGUCGUCGAAGGUGGAAUUAAUAACUGGGGUGAAGUCGUAACAAGGUAGCCGUAUCGGAAGGUGCGGCUGGAUCACCUCCUUUCUAAGGAGA